UCAGGGUCCCCGAGGACCUCCUGGGGAAAUUGGAAGUAAGGGUGAUCGAGGACAGACUGGACCACCUGGUUCAGAUGGAGCCAAGGGAGACAGAGGCCUUCCAGGUCAGGCAGGAGACAAG
Molecule: long non-coding RNA, 121 nt
Organism: Sinocyclocheilus anshuiensis
Lineage: Eukaryota; Metazoa; Chordata; Actinopteri; Cypriniformes; Cyprinidae
Exons: 3
Source: RefSeq, a predicted model, not a curated record